RNAcentral lists this transfer RNA (76 nucleotides) under Streptomyces phage Tomas. RNAcentral describes it as "tRNA-Ile". It matches the Rfam family "tRNA". From Rfam's summary of the family: Transfer RNA (tRNA) molecules are approximately 80 nucleotides in length. Their secondary structure includes four short double-helical elements and three loops (D, anti-codon, and T loops). The record is from RNAcentral. Lineage: Duplodnaviria; Heunggongvirae; Uroviricota; Caudoviricetes; Stanwilliamsviridae.
UGGGGCGUAGCCAAGUCUGGUUAAGGCAAUGGUCUGAUAAGCCAUCAUGCGCGGGUUCGAAUCCCGCCGUCCCUAC